AUACGUAGGGAGCGAGCGUUGUCCGGAAUUACUGGGCGUAAAGGGCGCGUAGGCGGCGCUUCAAGUCGUCUGUCAAAUGGGAGGGCUUAACCCUUUUUCGCAGACGAAACUGGAGAGCUUGAGAAGCAGAGAGGCAAACAGAAUUCCUGGUGUAGCGGUGAAAUGCGUAGAUAUCAGGAAGAAUACCAGUGGCGAAGGCGGUUUGCUGGCUGCAUACUGACGCUGAAGCGCGAAAGCCAGGGGAGCAAACGGGAUUAGAUACCCCGGUAGUCCUGGCAGUAAACGAUGUAUGCUGGGUGUGGGAGUAGCGAUACCUCCGUGCCGAAGUUAACGCGAUAAGCAUACCGCCUGGGGAGUACGGUCGCAAGAUUGAAACUCAAAUGAAUUGACGGGG
This 394-nucleotide ribosomal RNA is filed under the name uncultured bacterium. RNAcentral describes it as "partial 16S ribosomal RNA". It matches the Rfam family "Bacterial small subunit ribosomal RNA", at positions 523 to 918 of the family's 1533-position model. The record is from RNAcentral.